GCGGAAGUAGUUCAGUGGUAGAAUACAACCUUGCCAAGGUUGAGGGCCUAGUGGGGGAAACCCCGUGGAGGUUCAAGUCCUCUCGGCCGCAUCA
This 94-nucleotide transfer RNA is filed under the name Cronobacter sakazakii. RNAcentral's name for it is "tRNA-Gly". It matches the Rfam family "tRNA". From Rfam's summary of the family: Transfer RNA (tRNA) molecules are approximately 80 nucleotides in length. Their secondary structure includes four short double-helical elements and three loops (D, anti-codon, and T loops). Further hydrogen bonds mediate the characteristic L-shaped molecular structure. tRNAs have two regions of fundamental functional importance: the anti-codon, which is responsible for specific mRNA codon recognition, and the 3' end, to which the tRNAs corresponding amino acid is attached (by aminoacyl-tRNA synthetases). tRNAs cope with the degeneracy of the genetic code in two manners: having more than one tRNA (with a specific anti-codon) for a particular amino acid; and 'wobble' base-pairing, i.e. permitting non-standard base-pairing at the 3rd anti-codon position. The record is from RNAcentral. Lineage: Bacteria; Pseudomonadati; Pseudomonadota; Gammaproteobacteria; Enterobacterales; Enterobacteriaceae.